GUCCUAGCCCUAAACCAUCAGGACUUGGCGUGGCCCGCGUCCGCGGGUCGUGCCGAAGCUAACGCGAUAAGUCCUGCACCUGGGGAGUACGGUCGCAAGACUGAAACUCAAAGGAAUUGACGGGGCCCGCACAAGCGGUGGAACAUGUGGUUCAAUUCGACGCAACGCGAAGAACCUUACCUGGGCUUGAACCGCACAGGACCAGCCGUAGAAUAUGGCCUUCCCGCAAGGGACCUGUGUAGAGGUGCUGCAUGGCUGUCGU
This 262-nucleotide ribosomal RNA is filed under the name uncultured bacterium. RNAcentral's name for it is "partial 16S ribosomal RNA". It matches the Rfam family "Bacterial small subunit ribosomal RNA", at positions 793 to 1055 of the family's 1533-position model. The record is from RNAcentral.